GACGAACGCUGGCGGCGUGCCUAAUACAUGCAAGUAGAACGCACAGUUUAUACCGUAGCUUGCUACACCAUAGACUGUGAGUUGCGAACGGGUGAGUAACGCGUAGGUAACCUGCCUGGUAGCGGGGGAUAACUAUUGGAAACGAUAGCUAAUACCGCAUAAUAUUGAUUAUUGCAUGAUAAUUGAUUGAAAGAUGCUAUUGCAUCACUACCAGAUGGACCUGCGUUGUAUUAGCUAGUAGGUGAGGUAACGGCUCACCUAGGCGACGAUACAUAGCCGACCUGAGAGGGUGAUCGGCCACACUGGGACUGAGACACGGCCCAGACUCCUACGGGAGGCAGCAGUAGGGAAUCUUCGGCAAUGGACGAGAGUCUGACCGAGCAACGCCGCGUGAGUGAAGAAGGUUUUCGGAUCGUAAAGCUCUGUUGUAAGAGAAGAACGGGUGUGAGAGUGGAAAGUUCACACUGUGACGGUAUCUUACCAGAAAGGGACGGCUAACUACGUG
This 505-nucleotide ribosomal RNA is filed under the name uncultured bacterium. Its description in RNAcentral is "partial 16S ribosomal RNA". It matches the Rfam family "Bacterial small subunit ribosomal RNA", at positions 28 to 507 of the family's 1533-position model. The record is from RNAcentral.